UUUUGUCAAAAUCGUACUGCAAAGAGAGGCACCGCUAGGGUUUCUCUGGCGGCGGCUCAGGUUCUCACAUCGAUGGGGUUCCGCCCAGAAGCCUCAAUCGAUUCUCCGAUGACUUGUGUGCUGAUAAGAGAGAUGUAGCUGAGUAUGGGGUGCAUGUAUUUGCUGGACUCAAGCCGAUCUCACAGCCGCCGAGGAAGUGCAGGCUGCCGCGGAUUGGUGGUGCAAUGAUUUCUGCUCCAUUCAUCAACUGUUAAAUUCAUCACUAAACCAGGACGAUUGGAGUGGCCUUUUCGGUUGCUUGGAAGGAAGCUCAGUCAUCUAACCACAAGAUUUGAAAUUUCAGUUUGUCCUUGGUUCAGCAAGUUUCUGAGACUAAUAAUCUCCAAGAGAUCUUUCACAAGCCACUCUCUACCCAAGCUUUUGGCCAGUUCCAACAAGUUCAAUUAACAUUAGCUCACAUCACUCUCACGCCUUGCUCGCUAGGAUAUAUGGAGCUACUAUUGAAAUUAUGCAACCUUUUCUGCUGCCAAACUUUACAGAGUUCUAAUUCAAGGAGAGAGGGCACACCCCAUAUUUAAGAAGAUUUGGAAAUCAGCAGUGAUUCAGAGAUACCAAAUUUUCUGUUGGUUUCUGAUCCAAGAUAGGCUCAACACAACAAGUCUGCUUCUUAGGAAAUCAUUUCACCUGCCCUCCUACCAAUGUGCGCUAUGUAAUGAGCAAAUUGAGACCACAUUGCACCUCUUUUUGGACUGCUCAUUUGCUCUAGAAUGCUGGCACCUGAUCACCCCUAAUAAGAAGAGGAACACAUCUUUCAUUCAGGAAAUCAUGCUGGCUUUGAAUGAAUUACCAAAUGGAGUGGGCAUGAACAUUGUCAUUAUGAGUUGCUGGCAUAUUUGGAUGCAAAGGAACAACAAGAUCUUUAAGCAUAUAUAUCCAAUCACCACAUCAUGGAAGCUGCUACACAAGAAAGAUUUACAGUUGCUACAUCAUAGAACUAAGCACUAGCUCCUUCAAGUUUUUCAAGACUGGAUUGCCACACGUUUGUAGUCUGAAAGAUCCUUGAGUUAGACAUGUUUCCAAGAGCAGGCAUUGGUUAGAUGGGCUUGGCCAUCUCCUUUUCUUUUUAUCCCUUUUGUACAUACAUUUUUAAUUGCUUUUAAUGAAAAUUACCAUCGAACAAUUGUUAGCCUCUGGCUAAAAAAACAUGCUAGAAGAACUGAGAAGUCGAGAAGACUACAUAAUGUGGAAAGUGAAGAAUCAGACUGAUGGGACCCAAAAACAGAUGACAUUUUGUACAUGUAGUAGUGUGGAUAAUGUUAUUUUUUCUACAAAGAAAGUAGACACUAUUUCUUUCUAGAAAGUGGUCACUGUGAAAGCAAACAAUGUAACAUGAAUAUAUAAGUUUCUUACCGAGAAAGUUUUACUGGAUAUGUAUAGUACAUAAAUAAACUAAAUCACAAAAAUAAAUAUGUGAAUUAUGCAUGGCGUUAGAAAAUGCACCUAUACCUAUAACUACACUUACACUAUGACAACUAUUAAAUUUAUGUUUACAGAAAAAUAUAUAGCUAAGCGGCAUGAAAAAAAGGUAGAAAAAUAAUACAAACACAAUUUAAACAACACGAGUGAUCAUAAAAAAAUUAGUAUGGCAUGCACACUUAGGAAGUAAAUGAUGAAGGGGUAACACAUAUAUUUAUAUAUCAAUAAAAACACAAACGUGUUGAAGAUAGAACUACGUUUGAAGUAGUCUUACAUUUGAAAAUGCCAUCACAUUUGGUUUUCUUCUUCUUCUGAAAAAUCAAAUAAUAUGCUUUCACCAUUUAACUUUAUGAAAUGCUAGUCCCCACAUCAAGCGGGCCACUUUGCUAGUUUAUCUAAUAUCGGUAUUUUAAACCUUGUCGUCCUCAUUCAUGUUUGGAGACCCCAACACGAGGGACCCAAACUGGACGAACGCAAUCUUCAUGGAUAUUAGUAUAAAAUGUUGUCAACUUCAGCAUAGCGACAUGAGCCUCUAAGAUUAUAGUACUACAUUUUCAAACACGUAAAAGUCUGACGAGAGGCAUGAAACCCGCCUGGGCAUGGAUGCGUGAAGCGUGCACAAUCAAAAGCGUCUUUUUCCUCAGCCGCAGGCCGGCGUGAAAUCGCGCACAGCACAAGAAGUCUCGCCACUGCUAUAUUAUAU
RNA transcript from Triticum aestivum (bread wheat), 2179 nucleotides. It is a transcript of the gene named nicotianamine synthase 1, with no coding region annotated. The transcript has 3 exons. The record is from RefSeq and is a predicted model, not a curated record. Lineage: Eukaryota; Viridiplantae; Streptophyta; Magnoliopsida; Poales; Poaceae.